This 200-nucleotide unclassified non-coding RNA is filed under the name uncultured fungus. RNAcentral's name for it is "sequence contains ITS1". Lineage: Eukaryota; Fungi. The record is from RNAcentral.
UUAACUAUUAUAUAGUACUCAGACGACACUAAUAAUCAGGUUUGUAGAAUCCUCUGGCGGGCGCUCCCCCGCCGAAGCCGGGGCGCGGCCAGGCCGCGAGGCCCGCCAAAGCAACACUCAUAAAAUAAUCAAGGGUGGCGAUCCUACCCCGAAGGGCAGGGAACACUGUAAUGAUCCUUCCGCAGGUUCACCUACGGAAA